RNAcentral lists this ribosomal RNA (203 nucleotides) under Shigella sonnei. RNAcentral's name for it is "partial 23S ribosomal RNA". It matches the Rfam family "Bacterial large subunit ribosomal RNA", at positions 987 to 1190 of the family's 2925-position model. The record is from RNAcentral. Lineage: Bacteria; Pseudomonadati; Pseudomonadota; Gammaproteobacteria; Enterobacterales; Enterobacteriaceae. RNAcentral also lists the same sequence under 2 other names.
CACGGCGGGUGCUAACGUCCGUCGUGAAGAGGGAAACAACCCAGACCGCCAGCUAAGGUCCCAAAGUCAUGGUUAAGUGGGAAACGAUGUGGGAAGGCCCAGACAGCCAGGAUGUUGGCUUAGAAGCAGCCAUCAUUUAAAGAAAGCGUAAUAGCUCACUGGUCGAGUCGGCCUGCGCGGAAGAUGUAACGGGGCUAAACCAU